UGAUUCUUUCCUUUUAAAAAUGACUGCUUAUUACCGUUUGACUAUGAUUCUUUAGUUAAAUGGGAGUCCGUAUACUUGAUUGAUUAUGAUUGAUAUCAGUUCCUUAAAUAGGGAUUGACACUUUAUUUGUUUACUCGUAUUAGUACUAUAAAUACUCCUCACUUAUUUGUUUGAAAGACACAACAGACAUUGCUCUCACAAUCUAAAACUCUCUCAUUCUCUUCUUUGAACCCUCAACCGGCUAACAGCCAAGAAUGAGUAACUUGAUUGGUUACCUUACACUAUUGGGCUCUAUUUGUUUGUCUACAUUGGGUAUCCUAUUUCUCGCAACUGGUAUGUCACCUAUUUGAGAUACAAUUUCCAAAACAACAUGUUCCUAUUAAUUUUGCAAUUCAUAUUAUUUCUUGUGUGCUUAUAUCUAUGGUUUUGUUGCUAUCUUUUCCACUAGCAUGUUACUUACUAGUAUACUAGUUUAACUUAGCACGUUUUUCCCGUAUUCCUCUUUCCCUGUCUCAAUGCAUGUUCUUCUUUUAUGUGCACCACUGCUUGGCUACUUGCUUGACCUAAAAUCUGUGUUUGAAGCUAAGUGUGUUAGAAUUUGAUGCAGUAAGAAAUUGAACCCUUAGCUUACAAUCAUGUCUGAUUAUUUUCCUCCAGCAUGUUGUCUUUAUGUCUGUAUGUUCACUUUACUUAUUUGUUCCCCUUUCUCUUCCCCUGUUUGUGUGAUGUCCUGAUGUUCUAAAAUUGAUCAGUAUCUGUAUGUCUGUAGUUCACUUUACUUAUUUGCUCCCCUUCCCCUUCCCCUGUUUGUAUGAUGCCCUGAUGUUCUAAAACUGGUCAGUCUAAAAUAUUUUCAACAGAACCUUUCAAUUGUUUCUUCAAACUGCCCUAACUUUUCAAUUUUUCCAACUAUUUUUUUCAAAUUGUCUCUCAACUGUUUUCAACUCUCUCAAUUACAAUCUCAUUCUUAGAGCUUUAAGGUCUUCCCCCUUAGUGUAAGCACUGCCAUAGGAGCCUUGAGCACCCAUGGAACUCUGAUCUACAAGGUUGGCACUUUCAAUGUUUGCGCUUGUCUAAUUGAGACAUUUUUGGGUGCUUGGUAUUGGCUAGGGCUUCAAACGAACCCUUAGGGAUCUUUGCCACACCCAAGCCUUGGUAAUGGCUGUGAAACUCAAAAAGAGUGAGGUUGGAGAUGCUUGGGCCUGGCUGAAGG
This 1213-nucleotide long non-coding RNA is filed under the name Nicotiana benthamiana. RNAcentral describes it as "long non-coding RNA (NBEN_LNC017532)". Lineage: Eukaryota; Viridiplantae; Streptophyta; Magnoliopsida; Solanales; Solanaceae. The record is from RNAcentral.